GCCUCCAAUUUCAGAAAAUGUAACCAGUUUUGAAAUGAACGCUGAAUGCCAAGGUGGUUGUAUCUUACUCAAUGAUGCCGCCAACUUGGAAGGAAACAAUUCAUAUGAGAUUUGUUUUAAUGCUUUUCAUCAUAAUUUGAGAUACAUUGCCAGAAUGUCAGGCGAUGAUUCAGUGGUGUUAAAAACUGUUGAUAUACCGGAGAUACUAACCAUUUGUGAUGAUUACACACAGGUUUGGGUUAGAUGGAAAGAUGGUGUAAUUGGAUUUGGAACCGGAAGUAUAGGUUUGAAUGAGAAAAUAACUACAACAGACUCCAAACCGUUCCGUGUUUACGGCGUUGGUGUCACGUCCUUCCUACUUGGUGUUUGGAAAGUUAAUAUUAAAGGUAUAAUUAUCUCAGUAUAUUUAUAACAUCUUGUGUUUAAAAUUUCAAUAACAAUUGAGCUCGUAAAAUAUAUCAAUCGUGUGUUCUCGUUACAUAAUACUAGCAGUAGCCUAAAGUUAAAAAAAACAUUUUCAAAAGCGAAAAAGUUGAGCAUUCGAAACAUAAAAUAUUUGUACAGUUGUGCCGAAUAUGGGUUUAUAUAGGAAAAAGUAAAAUACCGAAUACUUUGGAAAAUCAAAAACGGGAAGACCCUAAUCAUAAGCCGAAAUCAAAAGCGCAAAUACAUUAAACGAAUGGAUAACAACUGUCAUCUUCCUAACUUGGUAAAGGCAUUAUCUUAUUUAGAAACUGGCGGUUUAGUUCUGGGUUUAAAGCUUAUUCGACACUUUUUUGACGGACGCAUACAAUUUCAUCAUAUUGACAACGAUGUGUGAACAAAAAAAACAGCCACAAAUAUGUCUAAAAUAGGGGUACAAUAGUCAAAAUUGUAUUGCGAUCAUUAUAAAAACAAACAAAUAUGUAACAAAGAAUCUAUCUUUUAUCCAAUACAAAACUCUAGUACUAUACAAAAAAUCAUGUGCUUUCUUAUUAUUGUAGAAUAUCUCUUAGCCAAUACAACCUACUAUUACUAUCCUGUGUUUUCAAAUAAGUAUUAUCUAACUUUUAGCAAAUACAUCACAUGUGUUUUCUAAUAAUUGUUAACUAUCUUUUAGCAAUCCCAACCGGAUAUUACUGCGCGAUGACUUACACAUAUUGCUACACAAAAUUAUUGUCAGUAUCAACUCAAAAGAUCAGAACAUAUUGUGCAUCAGAAUGUCAGAAAUCUAACGACUGCGUUGGAUUCAAUUAUCGAUAUGGAGGAAGUAUGAACUGUGAACUGAUUGAGGGUGGAAAUAUAAUAGAAACUGAAGAUGAUUAUGAAUGGCAUUACUAUGCAAAAUGCUUGCAAGACAAGACUGCUUGUCUUAAGUGCCGUUAAAAUUUAAAACUCUCAAGUUAACAUUGCAUGCUUGAAGGAUCAUUUUUCAAAUUAACGUCCUUUGUGGAGGUUUUGUACGUGUGAUAUGUCUGUGUCAACAUACAACAUUACAAAUAAAAUUAAUACAAAUUUGAAAUAAAAGGAGA
RNAcentral lists this long non-coding RNA (1511 nucleotides) under Mytilus galloprovincialis (Mediterranean mussel). Lineage: Eukaryota; Metazoa; Mollusca; Bivalvia; Mytilida; Mytilidae. The record is from RNAcentral.